UGUGUGUUAGUGGAAGCGUCUGGAAAGGCGCGCGAUACAGGGUGACAGCCCCGUACACAAAAAUGCACAUGCUGUGAGCUCGAUGAGUAGGGCGGGACACGUGGUAUCCUGUCUGAAUAUGGGGGGACCAUCCUCCAAGGCUAAAUACUCCUGACUGACCGAUAGUGAACCAGUACCGUGAGGGAAAGGCGAAAAGAACCCCGGCGAGGGGAGUGAAAAAGAACCUGAAACCGUGUACGUACAAGCAGUGGGAGCCUCUUUUAUGGGGUGACUGCGUACCUUUUGUAUAAUGGGUCAGCGACUUAUAUUCUGUAGCAAGGUUAACCGAAUAGGGGAGCCGAAGGGAAACCGAGUCUUAACUGGGCGUUAAGUUGCAGGGUAUAGACCCGAAACCCGGUGAUCUAGCCAUGGGCAGGUUGAAGGUUGGGUAACACUAACUGGAGGACCGAACCGACUAAUGUUGAAAAAUUAGCGGAUGACUUGUGGCUGGGGGUGAAAGGCCAAUCAAACCGGGAGAUAGCUGGUUCUCCCCGAAAGCUAUUUAGGUAGCGCCUCGUGAAUUCAUCUCCGGGGGUAGAGCACUGUUUCGGCAAGGGGGUCAUCCCGACUUACCAACCCGAUGCAAACUGCGAAUACCGGAGAAUGUUAUCACGGGAGACACACGGCGGGUGCUAACGUCCGUCGUGAAGAGGGAAACAACCCAGACCGCCAGCUAAGGUCCCAAAGUCAUGGUUAAGUGGGAAACGAUGUGGGAAGGCCCAGACAGCCAGGAUGUUGGCUUAGAAGCAGCCAUCAUUUAAAGAAAGCGUAAUAGCUCACUGGUCGAGUCGGCCUGCGCGGAAGAUGUAACGGGGCUAAACCAUGCACCGAAGCUGCGGCAGCGACGCUUAUGCGUUGUUGGGUAGGGGAGCGUUCUGUAAGCCUGUGAAGGUGUGCUGUGAGGCAUGCUGGAGGUAUCAGAAGUGCGAAUGCUGACAUAAGUAACGAUAAAGCGGGUGAAAAGCCCGCUCGCCGGAAGACCAAGGGUUCCUGUCCAACGUUAAUCGGGGCAGGGUGAGUCGACCCCUAAGGCGAGGCCGAAAGGCGUAGUCGAUGGGAAACAGGUUAAUAUUCCUGUACUUGGUGUUACUGCGAAGGGGGGACGGAGAAGGCUAUGUUGGCCGGGCGACGGUUGUCCCGGUUUAAGCGUGUAGGCUGGUUUUCCAGGCAAAUCCGGAAAAUCAAGGCUGAGGCGUGAUGACGAGGCACUACGGUGCUGAAGCAACAAAUGCCCUGCUUCCAGGAAAAGCCUCUAAGCAUCAGGUAACAUCAAAUCGUACCCCAAACCGACACAGGUGGUCAGGUAGAGAAUACCAAGGCGCUUGAGAGAACUCGGGUGAAGGAACUAGGCAAAAUGGUGCCGUAACUUCGGGAGAAGGCACGCUGAUAUGUAGGUGAAGCGACUUGCUCGUGGAGCUGAAAUCAGUCGAAGAUACCAGCUGGCUGCAACUGUUUAUUAAAAACACAGCACUGUGCAAACACGAAAGUGGACGUAUACGGUGUGACGCCUGCCCGGUGC
This 1558-nucleotide ribosomal RNA is filed under the name Escherichia coli. Its description in RNAcentral is "partial 23S ribosomal RNA". It matches the Rfam family "Bacterial large subunit ribosomal RNA", at positions 323 to 1869 of the family's 2925-position model. Lineage: Bacteria; Pseudomonadati; Pseudomonadota; Gammaproteobacteria; Enterobacterales; Enterobacteriaceae. The record is from RNAcentral.